AAACACAGAGAAGAAAGAGAACCCAAGGAGGAAAAACCUUUUGUGACUUUUGUCUUUCUCGCAAUGUCAACUUCAAAGGUUUGUGUUGUUUUUGUUUUUUUGUUUUUUUUCUCCCCUGUU
RNAcentral lists this non-coding RNA (120 nucleotides) under Paramoeba aestuarina. Lineage: Eukaryota; Discosea; Flabellinia; Dactylopodida; Paramoebidae. The record is from RNAcentral.